GUUACGGUAAACACGCGGUGAACCAUCAGAAAGCAAAACACAGAGAGGUUUAGGUCACCACGUAAGGUCAUCCACUCAACACAGAGAGGUUUAGGUCAUCACGUUAGGUCAUCCGCUUAACACAGAGAGGUUUAGGUCAUCACGUUAGGUCAUCCGCUCAACACAGAGAGGUUUAGGUCAUCACGUUAGGUCAUCCGCUCAACACAGAGAGGUUUAGGUCAUCACGUUAGGUCAUCCGCUCAACACAGAGAGGUUUAGGUCAUCACGUUAGGUCAUCCGCUCAACACAGAGAGGUUUAGGUCAUCACGUUAGGUCAUCCGCUCAACACAGAGAGAUUUAGGUCAUCACGUUAGGUCAUCCGCUCAACACAGAGAGGUUUAGGUCAUCACGUUAGGUCAUCCGCUCAACACAGAGAGGUUUAGGUCAUCACGUUAGGUCAUCCGCUC
Lineus longissimus is the source of this 446-nucleotide long non-coding RNA. RefSeq lists it as uncharacterized. NCBI's taxonomy places the organism in Eukaryota, Metazoa, Nemertea, Pilidiophora, Heteronemertea, Lineidae. The transcript has 4 exons. The record is from RefSeq and is a predicted model, not a curated record.